This 493-nucleotide long non-coding RNA is filed under the name Homo sapiens (human). RNAcentral describes it as "BST2 interferon stimulated positive regulator". Lineage: Eukaryota; Metazoa; Chordata; Mammalia; Primates; Hominidae. The record is from RNAcentral.
UUUUUUUUCACCCUGCUUUAAAAGCCCUUGGGCCCUUCCCAGCUGGGUGCCAGCCAACUGUGGCUGCCUGGGACACUCCAUCUUAAGUCCCUGUGCCUCUGCUGUGUGUUACUGAGUGCCUAGGCCGUGCCAGCCUGUAUUCAUCUGUACUAUGACCUGAAGAGGCAGAGGCCAUCACUGUUGGUCCGGUCUCCACCUGGGGAAACUGAGGUGUCUCUGUGGUGACGAGCAGGGCUUCAUCCAGUGCCUCUGUCCCCACCGAGGGGACUAUGGGAGACAUGGAGGGUGUGUGAGCAACAGGUGAGACUGGAGCCAGCUGAAAACUGGGAGACCGACCCAGCCAACAAACAAUGUCGGUCUCUGUCUUGGCACCUGCAGGAAACAAGCUCCUACUUCCAGAAAAAGUGCUCCUGGGACUCCAGGAUACCAGGUAAACUCUCUGAGCCUGUUUCUUCAUCUGCAAAGGGGAAUAACAGGGCCAGCCUCAGACACU